GUUGGCCAUUUAGGACCAUCAUUCUCCUCAUUUAUGAUCAUGGGAAUGGGGUAUCCGGGCCCUCAUUGAUGGUACAGAUAAUUACAUCUUAAGAAAACACAUGGCUGGUUUAAUGAAUGUUGUGACACUCCAAUUACUAUCUAGCUCACAAACAAUUAUGAUUGGACAUUUUAAUCUUGCAGAACUUGAAAUCAUUUCAAAUAUAAAGCAGGCAAAACUUCCUUACAGCAGCAACUCAUUUUACACAUGAUAUUCUGCAACUCAUAAAGAGCGGAAGAAAAGAGCAAAGCCAAAACUAUUAAAGGGAAACAGAUAACAGAUACCAUAGGACUUGUCAAGUAAUUAGCUUUGGGUCAGUUAUCCACUCAUCUCCAAUGAUCUUGGUAGUUAAACAUUCACAUUCCCAUUUACAGGGAAGUUGGCAUUAGCAGGAGAUGAUUGUGAACCACAACUAGAUACUCCCAUAUUAUCACCAGAACAAUCACCAGUGAUAGAUACACCAUUUCCAGAAUCUAUCUGAAUUCCAUGGUAAGAAUCUCCAGAAAUCAAUGCUUGUAACAAUUUUGGUGCUGGGGGAAAGGGCACUUCCACUACCCCCUCUAGCAUCUUCACUACCAUCCCCAUUGUGGGCCUCAUGUUCUCAUUAUCCUGUAUGCACCAAAUUGCCACCAAUGCAACACGCUCCGCCUCCUCAAUUUUAUAUGCGCUGCCGAGCCUAUAAUCUACCACUGCUGCUACAUUGCCUUCAAUUAUUUGUUGUGCAGCAUAUGGUGGGAAAAACCAUUUCUCCCCCUUUUCUCCCUCUCUGCUGCCAUUGCCACCAGCUGCAGAUACUGGUGCCUCAACAUUUCGUCGGCCUCCAAGCAACUCCAAUAAUGUCAUUCCAUAGCUAUAAACAUCUGCUUUCGUGGUAAUGGCCACUCCAGAUAUCCACUCUGGCGCCACAUAGCCCCAGGUACCUCUCAUGGUGGCUAAAACUCGACUAAAGUCACGACCAACAAGCUUUGCUAGGCCAAAAUCAGAUACCUUAGGAGUGUAAUCACUAUCCAAAAGGAUGUUGUCUGGUUUGAUAUCACAGUGGAUGAUGCAAUCCCGACAUUCCUCGUGUAAAUAUGCAAUGCCUCUAGCAGUCCCAACUGCUACACGAAAUCUAACAUCCCAGCUCAAACUAGGACCACCUUGGCGUAAAUAAACACUCAAAGAACCAUUUGGCAUGUAAUCAUAAACUAAAAGUCUAUGAGAAUUCUCUGAGCAAAAUCCUCUAAGCCUCACUAGAUUGACAUGUUGAAUGUUCCCAAUCGUACACACCUCUGCCCUGAACUCUCUCUCUCCACUCCCUGGCCUUUCAAGGCGUUUCACAGCAACAGGAGUAGAAUCUAAUAACUCACCUUGAAACACUGCACCAAAUCCACCGUGCCCAAGUUUAUCUGAGAAACCCCGAGUUGCUGCAUACAGCUCCUUGUAAGAAAAUACCUUCAAAUUCAACACCAGAAAGCCCCCAUCUUCCCUUCUCCCCUUGCUCCUCCUCCUCAUCUGCAGAGUCAGCAAAAUUCCUAUUGCUAACCCAACAAGGGCAACAGACACAAGAAUGCUAACAAUCAAAAGCACAGACUUCGACUCAUCCUUCUUUACGGUUCCUUCUUUUGGCACCCUAACAAACAGAAUAUCUUGAUAUGUUCUAUCAGAGCUUAGAUUUCUCAAAUUCAAUAAAGUCCCAUAUAAGUUCUUGCAUAAAUUAGUCCUCUCGUCAUGGAGAAAACCGAUACACGAACAAUUACCCAAACAAGACCUCUCGCAAAAGCUUCUACUACCAGGAAACGACAUCGUAACGGCUCCCUCGUACUCCAUGACACCAACCUCCAUGAAGCCAUCAGUCCGGUUACAGGAAUCCCCACUCUCCCUGCGACAGCCGCCAGAAUAAUCCCCAAACUCCCAAUCGUAAUCACUAACAGGCCUAAACCCUGAAAGGCAAAAGCAAGGCUUUGGCGAUGCGGAACUGAUUUUACAAAAUCCCAAAUCUCCGCAUAACCGAUAAACUUUACACCGAUUCUCCGGCUGUGACCAGAACAUAUUCCAAUUCUCCGCCUGCACGGACCAUGUAUAUUGUUUCAAUUGCCCGUCGACAUCCACUUGAAAUCGCGUCAACGGCGGGCUCAGCGCUCUAUCUAAUGCAAUUUCCGUGUACCAAAACGACGCCGCAGGGGUAUAAGGAUUGGCAAAGUGGAACUUGUAUAUGUACGGUACUGUCAUUUCGGGUACACCGACGAAUGUCGAACCUGUCCAGUUGCCUGUGCUCCAGUAACUGACACUUGCAUUAUAUAAAAGAUCAAAUUCGUUGUGCCCUCGGCUUAGCCUGAGAGAGUAUAACCCAGGUGAUGGGUCGGCUAAGCUCCGCCAAGAGGUUAAAGAUCGCUCUUUGGUGAUGUUCAUGCCAGGCAGCCAAGUGUCUGUUGGGUAAUCGAAACUUUGCCACAAGAGUGACCGGUUGGCUGAUAGUAGGACCAGAUUUCCAUCGUUUAGAAAGCGAAAAUCCGUUGCUGGCUCAUUGUUUGCGCUCUGCCAAAUGAUAGAAUUUGGCGACUCUAUUAUCGCCAGUUUGCCAGUUUCAGUGAUUUGUAGUGUGGAAGAGGCAAGAUUGGUGACUGGUGUUUCGCGAUUUGCUACCCAGACAUAAGUUGGAGUCGGGGUUGAUGCGUACCAAAUGCCCAGAUACCAUUUUGAACCUUCAUUUGGGCUGAAAAAGCCAAGCUGAAAAGUGUGGUUUUCGCUUGAAAUUGUGAGGUUUCCGCUGAUUAUAACAUUGGUAGACUCCAAUUUGUCGCUGAUGCUCUGUCCGGUAUAGUCUGCUAGUAAAUUUAAUGGCUUUUGGGUGGUGAAAGCCAAAUUUGAGGAAAUGGGCAAUCUGUUGCUGGGACUGUGUGUAAAUCUAGAGGUGGAAAAGCUAUCAUUAGUUCGAAAUUUGGCAACAAACGAAGCAUUGGAAGCUCCUACCAGAAGGUAGAAGAAGAAAUAAAUAGAAAUCAUGACGGAAUAAGCAUUGGGUAGUGACCUUUCAACGAGUUUAAUCAGAAAUGAUUCAGUUUGAUUUGCAAAGAGGAAAAGGGUAAAAGAAUAAACAGAGCAUCUUUCAUCUAAGAGGCGACAUGACAGAAUCAGUAGAGGCUUUAGUAAAGUCCUCUGAGAUUCACUUUUCA
This 3194-nucleotide unclassified non-coding RNA is filed under the name Hevea brasiliensis (rubber tree). Lineage: Eukaryota; Viridiplantae; Streptophyta; Magnoliopsida; Malpighiales; Euphorbiaceae. The record is from RNAcentral.